This 107-nucleotide small nuclear RNA is filed under the name Microcebus murinus (gray mouse lemur). Lineage: Eukaryota; Metazoa; Chordata; Mammalia; Primates; Cheirogaleidae. The record is from RNAcentral.
GUGCUCGCUUCGACAGCACAUAUACUAGAAUUGGAAUGAUACAGAGAAGAUUAGCAUGGCCCCAUGGCAAGGAUGACACACAAAUUCGUGAAGUGUUCCAUAUUUUU